AACGAACGCUGGCGGCAUGCCUAACACAUGCAAGUCGAACGAGACCUUCGGGUCUAGUGGCGCACGGGUGCGUAACGCGUGGGAAUCUGCCCUUGGGUUCGGAAUCACAGUUGGAAACGACUGCUAAUACCGGAUGAUGACGUAAGUCCAAAGAUUUAUCGCCCAAGGAUGAGCCCGCGUAGGAUUAGCUAGUUGGUGAGGUAAAGGCUCACCAAGGCGACGAUCCUUAGCUGGUCUGAGAGGAUGAUCAGCCACACUGGAACUGAGACACGGCCCAGACUCCUACGGGAGGCAGCAGUGGGGAAUAUUGGACAAUGGGCGAAAGCCUGAUACAGCAAUGCGGCGUGAGUGAUGAAGGGCUUAGGGUUGUAAAGCUCUUUUAGCCGGGAUGAUAAUGACAGUACCGGGAGAAUAAGCUCCGGCUAACUCCGUG
This 433-nucleotide ribosomal RNA is filed under the name uncultured bacterium. Its description in RNAcentral is "partial 16S ribosomal RNA". It matches the Rfam family "Bacterial small subunit ribosomal RNA", at positions 29 to 507 of the family's 1533-position model. The record is from RNAcentral.